AUUGAACGCUGGCGGCAGGCCUAACACAUGCAAGUCGAACGAGGGGCGGACGGGAGUGAAAUGUCUGGGAAAUUGCCCGAUGGAGGGGGAAAACUUUUGGAAACGGUAGCUAAUACCGAAUACCAUCAGAUGGGCCUAGAUGGGUUUGGCUUGUUGUGGGGGGAACGGCUCACCAAGGCGACGACCCCUAGCUGGUCUGAGAGGAGGACCAGCCAAAAUGGAACGGGGACACGGUCCAGACUCCGACGGGAGGAAGCAGUGGGGAAUAUUGCACAAUGGGCGAAAGCCUGAUGCAGCCAUGCCGGGUGGAGGAAGAAGGCCUUAGGGUGGUAAAGUACUUUAAGCGGGGAGGCGGUACCCGCAGAAGAAGCACCGGCUAACUCCGUGCCAGCAGCCGCGGUAAUAC
This 406-nucleotide ribosomal RNA is filed under the name uncultured bacterium. RNAcentral's name for it is "partial 16S ribosomal RNA". It matches the Rfam family "Bacterial small subunit ribosomal RNA", at positions 29 to 526 of the family's 1533-position model. The record is from RNAcentral.